AUCUUGCGCAAUGGGCGAAAGCCUGACGCAGCGACGCCGCGUGAGCGAUGAAGGCCUUCGGGUCGUAAAGCUCUGUCGAGGGGGAAGAAUUUAGACGGUACCCCUCAAGAAAGCCCCGGCUAACUACGUGCCAGCAGCCGCGGUAA
This 146-nucleotide ribosomal RNA is filed under the name Natronovirga wadinatrunensis. Its description in RNAcentral is "partial 16S ribosomal RNA". It matches the Rfam family "Bacterial small subunit ribosomal RNA", at positions 361 to 523 of the family's 1533-position model. The record is from RNAcentral. Lineage: Bacteria; Bacillati; Bacillota; Clostridia; Natranaerobiales; Natranaerobiaceae.